Clupea harengus (Atlantic herring) is the source of this 972-nucleotide long non-coding RNA. The record is from Ensembl. Lineage: Eukaryota; Metazoa; Chordata; Actinopteri; Clupeiformes; Clupeidae.
GCCGUGGUCAGCCUCCCCAGACUUAGCGAUGCCUUCCUGGUAAUCUUUGGACUGAUAUAUGCACUACACCUCAGCUACCCCAAAGCACUGACCAACACUUUUGAAUUCACUGAAAAGAUUUUACUUGGUCUAGAAAGUGGUAAACUGUCACCCAGGUUGCAGACCCUCAAGAAUGACUUGUUGAUGUAAGUGACUGAUGGAGGAGGUGGAGAGGGAGGUGACUGAUGGAGGAGGAGAGGGAGGUGACUGAUGGAGGAGGUGGAGAGGGAGGAGGAGAGGGAGGUGACUGAUGGAGGAGGUGGAGAGGGAGGAUAAGAGGGAGGUGACUGAUGGAGGAGGAGAGGGAGGUGACUGAUGGAGGAGGUGGAGAGGGAGGAUAAGAGGGAGGUGACUGAUGGAGGAGGUGGAGAGGGAGGUGACUGAUGGAGGAGGUGGAGAGGGAGGUGACUGAUGGAGGAGGUGGAGAUGGAGGUGACUGAUGGAGGAGGUGGAGAUGGAGGUGACUGAUGGAGGAGGUGGAGAGGGAGGAGAAGAGGGAGGUGACUGAUGGAGGAGGUGGAGAGGGAGGUGACUGAUGGAGGAGGUGAGGGAGGUGACUGAUGGCGGAGGUGGAGAGGGAGGUGACUGAUGGCGGAGGUGGAGAGGGAGGUGACUGGAGGAGGAGAGGGAGGUGACUGAUGGAGGAGGUGGAGAGGGAGGUGACUGAUGGCGGAGGUGACUGAUGGAGGAGGAGAGAGGGAGGUGACUGAUGGAGGAGGUGGAGAGGGAGGUGACUGAUGGCGGAGGUGACUGAUGGAGGAGGAGAGAGGGAGGUGACUGAUGGAGGAGGAGAGGGAGGUGACUGAUGGAGGAGGUGGAGAGGGAGGUGACUGAUGGCAUAGGAGGAGAGAGGGAGGCUUUGAUUUAUUUUGAUUUAUAGAUGUUUAUUAUUUAUUUUUCUAUUUAAUUUUAAUAUUGCAGUGUGCUAAAAGG